UAUGAAUGAGAAUGUGGGGAAAGUUACAAACAAAUAAUAUCAUCUUUGUAUAUUAGGAGACAUUAGACCCAAAAGGCUCUGGCACUAAGGGACCUUGUCUUGUAAGCUUGGGAACAACAGUGUUGAAGGGAGAAAAAGAAGCGAUGAAGCAAACACCAAUCAAGAAUGGGCAAAGUGACUCCAAUGUUUUUCAGAAAGUCCUGGAUUGGGAAGUAUAAUGGCAUAAUUCAAAGAGUACCAGAUUGAAUCCUUAUUGAAGCCACUGAGGACGAAAAGUAGGGAUGAAACACACCUCGAGAACUAAAGUUAAACUGUUGAGGACUGCAACACAGGCCUCCCCCAAUUCCUAUAUCCACUUAAUUCCUAUGGUCUUGGCAGAUGCAACUUCCACCAGCCACACUACCACCAAGCCAAGCUCGGAAGCAAAGAAUCCUUUAGCUCUGGUUAUUUAGUCAUCAUGAGAGUCCUGGAACUUUAAGCUACUUUGGGGCACAAAGAUAAUCAACCCUACGAUGUGAAAACACUACAUGGGAAGAUCUCCAGGUGGCAGCCCCGCAGAUCUGCACAGAUGCCUAUUUUCCUUGUGCCCAGGAGACAGAUGGUCCUCAGAGAGGGGUAGAGAGCUUAAUCCAUCAGAGUGAAGCCUGUGUGCUGGACUAAUUUUGGAAAUAUGUCCCUGAUCCAUCUGAGCAAUGAGGAUUCCUUAGGAUUACCUUUGCUAUUCAAGGGUUCAAAAUAAACAGAAUCACCAGCCUUAUCCUGGCAACCAGAAAGAAGUAAGAAAAGAAAGUUAUGAAGAGAAAGAGGAUAAGAGACAACUUAGAGAGUUAAAGGUGGAUGGAGGAAUCCGAAUUUACUUAUUCUUUCCUCAUACAUCAGAAACCCUAAAAAUCCAAUUUUUAUCAGUUCUGAAGUUUCUACUAAUAGAAACCUCUGGUGGCAACCCAGCUUCUAUUUCAAAGCAAAUAAAAAGUCAUUGGGGAAAGGAAUCUUUUUUUGUUUCUUCUUCUAGAUUUUCCUCCUCAAAACAUUUGAUGUACUCAGAGGUAGGCCAGAGAGUUAGGGU
This 1066-nucleotide long non-coding RNA is filed under the name Monodelphis domestica (gray short-tailed opossum). RNAcentral describes it as "lncRNA (ENSMODG00000041624.1)". Lineage: Eukaryota; Metazoa; Chordata; Mammalia; Didelphimorphia; Didelphidae. The record is from RNAcentral.